Molecule: ribosomal RNA, 430 nt
Filed under: Pseudomonadota bacterium
Lineage: Bacteria; Pseudomonadati; Pseudomonadota
Description: Proteobacteria bacterium partial 16S ribosomal RNA
Rfam family: Bacterial small subunit ribosomal RNA
Source: RNAcentral
UGGGGAAUAUUGGACAAUGGGCGAAAGCCUGAUCCAGCCAUGCCGCGUGUGUGAAGAAGGCCUUAUGGUUGUAAAGCACUUUAAGCGAGGAGGAGGGUACUGGUAUUAAUACUACCAGGUACUGGACGUUACUCGCAGAAUAAGCACCGGCUAACUCUGUGCCAGCAGCCGCGGUAAUACAGAGGGUGCGAGCGUUAAUCGGAUUUACUGGGCGUAAAGCGUGCGUAGGCGGCUAAUUGAGUCGGAUGUGAAAUCCCCGAGCUUAACUUGGGAAUUGCAUUCGAUACUGGUUAGCUAGAGUUUGGGAGAGGAUGGUAGAAUUCCAGGUGUAGCGGUGAAAUGCGUAGAGAUCUGGAGGAAUACCGAUGGCGAAGGCAGCCAUCUGGCCUAACACUGACGCUGAGGUACGAAAGCAUGGGGAGCAAACAGG